UGGGGAAUAUUGCACAAUGGGCGCAAGCCUGAUGCAGCCAUGCCGCGUGUAUGAAGAAGGCCUUCGGGUUGUAAAGUACUUUCAGCGGGGAGGAAGGCGAUAAGGUUAAUAACCUUGUCGAUUGACGUUACCCGCAGAAGAAGCACCGGCUAACUCCGUGCCAGCAGCCGCGGUAAUACGGAGGGUGCAAGCGUUAAUCGGAAUUACUGGGCGUAAAACGCACGCAGGCGGUCUGUCAAGUCGGAUGUGAAAUCCCCGGGCUCAACCUGGGAACUGCAUUCGAAACUGGCAGGCUAGAGUCUUGUAGAGGGGGGUAGAAUUCCAGGUGUAGCGGUGAAAUGCGUAGAGAUCUGGAGGAAUACCGGUGGCGAAGGCGGCCCCCUGGACAAAGACUGACGCUCAGGUGCGAAAGCGUGGGGAGCAAACA
Molecule: ribosomal RNA, 427 nt
Filed under: uncultured bacterium
Lineage: Bacteria
Description: partial 16S ribosomal RNA
Rfam family: Bacterial small subunit ribosomal RNA
Source: RNAcentral